AUGGGGCUGAUGGCGCUGAAUCGGCUCAUCUCCAGGCAGCGGGAGCAGAAGCAGAAGCGAAAUCGUGGCCGUAUUGAAGCCAAUAAUGGAUGGCUUGCUUCAUCAUUAGCUAAAAGAAACAGAUCGCCCUGCCAACAGGAUGUUAAUUCUCAUGGUGGCAAAAAAGUAAGAUAUCCAGGACCAGAUCUUCCAGAGGACAUCUGGCGUCAUAUACAUUUCCUACUGCCAAUGCAAGAUGCUGCCCGUGCUGCCUGUAUCUCUCAGUCCUUUCGAAGCUCCUGGAAAUGCUAUCCCAAUCUUACCUUCACUAAUGAAACAAUGUGCUCCAAAGAAGAUUUGUGUAAGAGAACAACAGGCUCAAAUGUUAUAAGAGACUACAACAACAAAAUUGACCAUGUUUUAAGAAACCACUCAGGAGCUGGUGUGAAGAAAUUGAGGCUUGAAUACUAUGUUAUUCCUCAUGAUGCAGAACCGUAUCAUCAUCUCACCAGUUGGCUCCAGAUUGCGGUUACACCAGGGAUUGAACAACUCCACCUUACACUAUCCCCGAGGGAUGCAACUUUUAACUUUCCAUGCAUGCUUCUCUCUGAGAUAUGUCAUGGCUCUAUUCAGUAUCUUCACCUUGCCAAUUUGGACUUACAUCCCACAUUUCAACUUGGUUUGAGAACCCUGAAAACGCUGCACCUGUAUAAUGUGCAUAUUACGGGGGAUGAGUUAGGGUGCCUUCUAUCCCAUUCCUUUGCUUUGGCACACUUGAGACUUCAAUAUUGUCAUGACAUCAUUCGCCUGGAGAUACCUUGUCUGCUGCAGCGGCUCAGGUUCCUGGAGGUGCUUGAAUGUAGCCUUGAGGUGUUAGAGAUCAAUGCUCCAAAUAUCUCCAGAUUCCGCUUAAUGGAUUUUAAUGUGCAACUCUCGUUUGGAAAGUCACGGAAGAUGAAGAAUCUGAUGUUGAACAAUAGCUGUGGCAUCAGUUAUGCUAUUGACAACCUUCCUUCCUGUGCGCCAAAAGUUGAGACUCUUACCAUACAUUCUAGUUAUGAGGUAAUUAAUGCACCAGUGGCAUCUAGCAAAUUUCGCCACCUCAAGAUCUUGAUUAUUUAUCUAUUGGGACUCCAUUCUCAUCGGGACUAUGAUUAUUUAUCCUUAGUUUCUCUUUUUGAUGCUUCUCCUUUGUUGGAGAAGUUUGUCUUGUUUGUAUCACCUGUGCAGUCCAAGUAUGACUGGUUUGAGGGAGAUCUCUCAUCUCUGAGACAAAUGUCAGAACACCGCCAUCACAACCUCAAAAAUGUGAAGAUCAGUGGUUUCUGCCCCCAAAAAAGCAUGGUUGAGCUAGCACGUCAUAUUCUUGAGAAUGCAACAUCACUUGAGUGCCUUACAUUGGACACCACUCCUAUUAGCUACCGGUGUUCUGGUGAUAUAUUGGACAGGAAAUGCCCUCCACUGGAAACUGCAUAUAUAAGGGAUGCAUAUAAAUCAAUCUUGGCUGUGAGAACAUACAUUGAAGGGAAAGUUAACUCCACAGUCAAGUUAAACUUACUAGGGCCUUGCAGCCGGUGUUAUGCUUUGUGA
Molecule: ribosomal RNA, 1569 nt
Filed under: Triticum aestivum (bread wheat)
Lineage: Eukaryota; Viridiplantae; Streptophyta; Magnoliopsida; Poales; Poaceae
Description: partial small subunit ribosomal RNA
Source: RNAcentral